Molecule: long non-coding RNA, 1427 nt
Filed under: Corvus moneduloides (New Caledonian crow)
Lineage: Eukaryota; Metazoa; Chordata; Aves; Passeriformes; Corvidae
Description: lncRNA (ENSCMUG00000016944.1)
Source: RNAcentral
CGUAUCUGCAGUCCUUUUUCUCACCUCCAGAAACAGGUAGCUGCUAAAAUUUUACUGUGCUGGAAUGUUAUUCAGUGUUAAUAGCAUACAGUGUUGACCUAUUUUUUUUUUCCUAUGGUGAAAGGGUAAAACAGUUCCUAAAAGAGUUGUAAUAAUUUUUACAUGACUGUACACAUUGAUGAGGCUCAAUAAAUAACAAAUAUUUAGCUGACUCCUCUUUACGAGAUCGCCAACUGCACAGCAACUGCUUAUUCCUCAAAUGGCACUAAUAUUUGCUUCUUAGAUACUUACUAAUUUUAAAUGCCUGUACCUGUGUUGAAAUAGUUUUAGGGUAGUUCUUUUCCAUUUCAGAAAAGGGGGAAAAAUAUUCUCUUCAUUUCACUGUCAUAUCGAAAGCUUGAGAGACAGGAAAUAUCUCUCAAAGAUAAACAAAGUAAAAAGAAAAUAAAAUACUCUGAGUUGUAUAAUAGGUAAUCCCAAAUUUUCUAAGACAAGCAGUACAAAAGUUGUAGAGGGAUUCCUUGUGGAAUAUAGGAUACCCCAGGAGGGCUUGGGCAUCCCAGGGCUGUUGCAGAAGUACCCCUGAAGGGGCCUCAGGCUGAAGAUAGGCUUGCUAGGCACCUGCCAGCCGGCAGCCUUGAACAGCCUUGGGAAAAGGUAUACACUGGUCAGCUCCCCCGCUGCUUAGAGGCUUUCUCAUGGGAAAGGGGCGUGAACUUUGGAAAAAGUAUAACUUGGUGUAACCGAAUAAUAAAACUGGAGCACGAUGCUCAAAUCGUAUCGGUGUUCGUAUCGUGACUCUGGCUGGAUUCCCCUGCUUCCGGGACCCACCCCUGCUACACGUGGCGCCCGAACGGCAGGGACCCGAGUGAGUUUUGCUUCAGGCAGGUUCGCUUCAAUGCGUUCCUGCUCUGGGAACGAACGUGGACUGCAAUGCUACAGAAUGUCCUGCAACAACAGGGACAAGUCAUCGUUGCAUCACUGACCAGAGCUGUGCCCAGCAAAGUGGUGCCAUGCUACAGGACCCCGAAACAAGAAAGCACAGUCAGCAUCAGCUCCUGAAGAAAGUGACGCCACUACUUCAACAGCUGGAACUCUGAAACCUGUCCUGAGGAGCCUUGAGAGAGGCUGCAGACGUGGCUGAGUGAAGGAGCUGAGGACUUGCCAAAUCCACCACUCUCCGUAGCAGGAGAAAUAGCGAGACCCUGGGGCGAAUGUAACAGCUGCCCUAGGUGGUUGCUAGUGACAUGUGGUAGGUGUCAGGGAACCCUCCCCAAAGGCAAAACCAAGAAGGAGAGUUGCAUAAAUUUUUGGGUAUAGCACCAGACACAGAGGUAGAGUGAGAAAUUGUUUUUUGACUGUCUUGAGACAGGAGCAUUAGCGGACAUUUUCAAUCAGCUGUCCGCCCAUUUAGAUCAAGUGAAGGC